GGAGGGGUGUCGGAGUCUGGUCGAUCGAGCUCGACUCGAAAUCGAGUAGGCGGGUGACCGCCUCGUGGGUUCGAAUCCCACCCCCUCCGCCA
Molecule: transfer RNA, 92 nt
Filed under: Clostridiales bacterium
Lineage: Bacteria; Bacillati; Bacillota; Clostridia; Eubacteriales
Also listed under: 1 other name
Description: tRNA-Ser
Rfam family: tRNA
About the family: Transfer RNA (tRNA) molecules are approximately 80 nucleotides in length. Their secondary structure includes four short double-helical elements and three loops (D, anti-codon, and T loops).
Source: RNAcentral